This 408-nucleotide ribosomal RNA is filed under the name uncultured microorganism. RNAcentral's name for it is "bacterial SSU rRNA". It matches the Rfam family "Archaeal small subunit ribosomal RNA", at positions 330 to 745 of the family's 1478-position model. The record is from RNAcentral.
GUGCAGCAGGCGAGAAACUUUACAAUGUGCGAAAGCACGAUAAGGGAACUCUGAGUGCCUCCUAAGGAGGCUGUUCAGGUGUCUAAAAGCACCUGAAGGAAGGGCUGGGUAAGACCGGUGCCAGCCGCCGCGGUAACACCGGCAGCCCAAGUGGUAGCCACGUUUAUUGGGUCUAAAGCGUCCGUAGCCGGCUGGGUAAGUUCCUUGGGAAAUUUGGCAGCUUAACAGUCAAGCUUUCAGGGAAUACUGCCCGGCUUGGGACCGGGAGAGGUCAGAGGUACUCCAGGGGUAGGGGUGAAAUCCAUUAAUCCUUGGGGGACCACCGGUAGCGAAGGCGUCUGACCAGACCGGGUCCGACGGUGAGGGACGAAGGCUAGGGGCGCGAACCGGAUUAGAUACCCGUGUAGU